RNAcentral lists this ribosomal RNA (449 nucleotides) under uncultured bacterium. RNAcentral describes it as "partial 16S ribosomal RNA". It matches the Rfam family "Bacterial small subunit ribosomal RNA", at positions 29 to 523 of the family's 1533-position model. The record is from RNAcentral.
AACGAACGCUGGCGGCAUGCCUAACACAUGCAAGUCGAACGAGAUCUUCGGGUCUAGUGGCGCACGGGUGCGUAACGCGUGGAAAUCUGCCCUUUGGUUCGGAAUAACAGUUGGAAACGACUGCUAAUACCGGAUGAUGACGAAAGUCCAAAGAUUUAUCGCCAGAGGAUGAGCCCGCGUAGGAUUAGCUAGUUGGUGUGGUAAAGGCGCACCAAGGCGACGAUCCUUAGCUGGUCUGAGAGGAUGAUCAGCCACACUGGGACUGAGACACGGCCCAGACUCCUACGGGAGGCAGCAGUGGGGAAUAUUGGACAAUGGGCGAAAGCCUGAUCCAGCAAUGCCGCGUGAGUGAUGAAGGCCUUAAGGUUGUAAAGCUCUUUUACCCGGGAUGAUAAUGACAGUACCGGGAGAAUAAGCGCCGGCUAACUCCGUGCCAGCCGCCGCCGUAA